CCCUAUGGGGUGCAGCAGGUAUACCGGGAAAACAAGCCGGGCUUCAAGCUGAAUCAGGAUGAAUGGGGUACUUAUAUCACCGGGUACGCUCCUUUCUAUUCGGAGGAAGGGCGGUUUAUUGGUAUAAUCGGUGUUGAUCUGUUCCUGGACAACUUGAACAGUUCCCUGCAGGAAAGCUUUUUUAUUAUCCUGUGCUUCGUCAUGGUAUUGCUGGCUAUCGGAUUGAUCACCUACUCUUUCUAUUGCAAGUUCCUGAACGCGGUAGAACGUGCUGAUGCCGAAAGCAUCCUUUCAACAACCGACAGCCUGACCGGUCUCUUGAACCGGCGAGGCUUCAGCCAGAAAUAUCAGCCGUUAUGGAUACGAGGACAGAAAAACGGCAGUUCUUUGUCCCUGAUGCUUAUCGACGUAGAUUAUUUCAAGGAGUAUAACGAUAAUUACGGGCAAUUGGCGGGGGAGC
This 460-nucleotide ribosomal RNA is filed under the name uncultured prokaryote. RNAcentral describes it as "partial 16S ribosomal RNA". The record is from RNAcentral.